This 309-nucleotide ribosomal RNA is filed under the name uncultured bacterium. RNAcentral describes it as "bacterial SSU rRNA". It matches the Rfam family "Bacterial small subunit ribosomal RNA", at positions 28 to 334 of the family's 1533-position model. The record is from RNAcentral.
GAUGAACGCUGGCGGCGCGCCUAACACAUGCAAGUCGAACGGGAAGCGGGGCCUCCGGGCCCCGCCGAGAGUGGCGAACGGCUGAGUAACACGUGGGCAACCUGCCCCCUCCACCGGGACAGCCUCGGGAAACCGUGGGUAAUACCGGAUACUCCGGGACGGCCGCAUGGCCGGCCCGGGAAAGCCCAGACGGGAGGGGAUGGGCCCGCGGCCUGUUAGCUAGUCGGCGGGGUAACGGCCCACCGAGGCGAUUAUGGGUAGCCGGGUUGAGAGACCGACCGGCCAGAUUGGGACUGAGACACGGCCCAG